Molecule: long non-coding RNA, 836 nt
Filed under: Salmo salar (Atlantic salmon)
Lineage: Eukaryota; Metazoa; Chordata; Actinopteri; Salmoniformes; Salmonidae
Description: lncRNA (ENSSSAG00000088759.1)
Source: RNAcentral
GCCAAUAAAUUCUUGUUUUGUCUGUGAGGGAAAAGGUCACAUGCAAUAUCUCAUUUUCUAAUUUCUGACACCAAUGCAGCAAAUGUUAAAGAAUAUGGAGCCACAUAGCAUGAACUGUGUCAAUUGUAUGGGCUAUGGGUUCAUAUUGUGUUAGCUGAGGGUUACAGGUUUUUACUGCAUGAAGGUCAUGUGUAACUAUGCCAAGCUGCUUGCUUAGCAAGUAGGCCUAUUGCUUAUUCCAGUAAGACUAACUGAGUGGCUUGAUCAAGACCAUGCUUCGGCAACUAUUCUACUGCAUUUAGCAGCUUUCUAAGCUGGAGUGAAAAGCUUGGCAAAUGUUGCUCUGGAGUUCAUGAGACUGGUGUCUGUGGACCUCAAGAAGACAUUUUAUGAAGGCCUGGACAGUCAUCUUUCUAAGCUCCUUGAAUUCUCCCGGGCCAAGAGUGGUGGAGGGAUGGAGCUAAAACACCUUAUGGACAGUCUUGACAAAGACAGUUCCAAUCAAAGGUAGAGUGUGCUGUGCUCCGAGGCUUGCCAGACUUCCUGCGAGAAGACCCUACCAAUUUUUUGAAGACGUGAGGUAUACAACCCUACAACAUAACUUUAUGCUUUCUCCCAGGAGUGAAAUUUCCUAUGAAUUAAUGAUGCAUUGUAACAUUCAAUGGAGUUAAGUUGAAUGUCUGUCGCCAUCUGAAGUGAUUAUAACACACAGGCUAAAUCAAAUGUGAACCAACUACACUAUAUAAUGACCUCUCUUUUAGCAAUGUUUUAGUUGUUUUACUUUUACUCAACCUUUCUCCCUUGCUAUUCAUUCAGUUGAGAAUAGUGAUUUAGCC